UACGUAGGGCGCAAGCGUUGUCCGGAAUUAUUGGGCGUAAGGAGCUCGUAGGCGGUUUGUCACGUCGGGUGUGAAAGCCCGGGGCUUAACCCCGGGUCUGCAUUCGAUACGGGCAGACUGGAGUGUGGUAGGGGAGAUCGGAAUUCCUGGUGUAGCGGUGAAAUGCGCAGAUAUCAGGAGGAACACCGGUGGCGAAGGCGGAUCUCUGGCCAUUACUGACGCUGAGGAGCGAAAGCGUGGGAGCGAACAGG
RNAcentral lists this ribosomal RNA (251 nucleotides) under uncultured bacterium. RNAcentral describes it as "partial 16S ribosomal RNA". It matches the Rfam family "Bacterial small subunit ribosomal RNA", at positions 524 to 776 of the family's 1533-position model. The record is from RNAcentral.